This 1057-nucleotide ribosomal RNA is filed under the name uncultured bacterium. RNAcentral describes it as "bacterial SSU rRNA". It matches the Rfam family "Bacterial small subunit ribosomal RNA", at positions 10 to 1064 of the family's 1533-position model. The record is from RNAcentral.
AGUUUGAUCCUGGCUCAGAUUGAACGCUGGCGGCAUGCCUAACACAUGCAAGUCGAACGGUAGCAGGCCUUCGGGCGCUGACGAGUGGCGGACGGGUGAGGAAUACAUAGGAAUCUGCCUUUUAGUGGGGGAUAACCCGGAGAAAUCCGGGCUAAUACCGCAUAAGCACUACGGUGGAAAGCAGGGGAUCGCAAGACCUUGCGCUAAUAGAUGAGCCUAUGUCUGAUUAGCUAGUUGGUGGGGUAAAGGCCUACCAAGGCGACGAUCAGUAGCUGGUCUGAGAGGACGACCAGCCACACUGGGACUGAGACACGGCCCAGACUCCUACGGGAGGCAGCAGUGGGGAAUAUUGGACAAUGGGGGCAACCCUGAUCCAGCAAUGCCGCGUGUGUGAAGAAGGCCUUCGGGUUGUAAAGCACUUUCAGCAGGGAGGAAAAGCUUGAGGCUAAUAUCCUUGAGUCUUGACGUUACUUGCAGAAGAAGCACCGGCUAACUCUGUGCCAGCAGCCGCGGUAAUACAGAGGGUGCAAGCGUUAAUCGGAAUUACUGGGCGUAAAGCGCGCGUAGGUGGUUUGAUAAGUCGGAUGUGAAAUCCCCGGGCUUAACCUGGGAACUGCAUUCGAAACUGUCUGGCUAGAGUUUGAGAGAGGGAAGUGGAAUUCCACAUGUAGCGGUGAAAUGCGUAGAUAUGUGGAGGAACAUCAGUGGCGAAGGCGGCUUCCUGGCUUAAAACUGACACUGUGGCGCGAAAGCGUGGGUAGCAAACAGGAUUAGAUACCCUGGUAGUCCACGCCGUAAACGAUGAGAACUAGACGUUGGGAGGUUUAACCUUUUAGUGUCGCAGCUAACGCAAUAAGUUCUCCGCCUGGGGAGUACGGCCGCAAGGCUAAAACUCAAAUGAAUUGACGGGGGCCCGCACAAGCGGUGGAGCAUGUGGUUUAAUUCGAUGCAACGCGAAAAACCUUACCUGCUCUUGACAUCUAUGGAAUCCUGCAGAGAUGCGGGAGUGCCUUCGGGAACCAUAAGACAGGUGCUGCAUGGCUGUCGUCAGCUCGUG